GCCGUUGUGGCGUAGUGGUAGCGCGUCCCACUUGUAUCAGCAAUGGGAAGGUCAUUCGUUCAAUCCGGGUCUGCGGCA
RNAcentral lists this transfer RNA (78 nucleotides) under Ephemerocybe angulata. RNAcentral describes it as "Coprinellus angulatus tRNA". It matches the Rfam family "tRNA". Rfam says of the family: Transfer RNA (tRNA) molecules are approximately 80 nucleotides in length. Their secondary structure includes four short double-helical elements and three loops (D, anti-codon, and T loops). Further hydrogen bonds mediate the characteristic L-shaped molecular structure. tRNAs have two regions of fundamental functional importance: the anti-codon, which is responsible for specific mRNA codon recognition, and the 3' end, to which the tRNAs corresponding amino acid is attached (by aminoacyl-tRNA synthetases). tRNAs cope with the degeneracy of the genetic code in two manners: having more than one tRNA (with a specific anti-codon) for a particular amino acid; and 'wobble' base-pairing, i.e. permitting non-standard base-pairing at the 3rd anti-codon position. The record is from Rfam by way of RNAcentral. Lineage: Eukaryota; Fungi; Basidiomycota; Agaricomycetes; Agaricales; Psathyrellaceae.